GCAUAUAUACAUAUAUAAAAUUGGAACAAUACAGAGAAGAUUAGCAUGACCCCUGAGCAAGUAUGACAUAGAAAUCAUAAAGUAUUCCAUAUUUUU
Small nuclear RNA from Monodelphis domestica (gray short-tailed opossum), 96 nucleotides. NCBI's taxonomy places the organism in Eukaryota, Metazoa, Chordata, Mammalia, Didelphimorphia, Didelphidae. The record is from Ensembl.